GACGAACGCUGGCGGCGUGCUUAACACAUGCAAGUCGAACGGUGAAGCGCCUUCCUUUUUGGUGGGUGUGGAUGAGUGGCGAACGGGUGAGUAACACGUGAGUAACCUGCCCCCUUCUUCUGGAUAACCGCAUGAAAGUGUGGCUAAUACGGGAUAUUCUGGGUCUGUCGCAUGAUGGGUCUGGGAAAGAUAUUGUUUCGGUGGGGGAUGGGCUCGCGGCCUAUCAGCUUGUUGGUGGGGUGAUGGCCUACCAAGGCGGUGACGGGUAGCCGGCCUGAGAGGGUGGACGGUCACACUGGGACUGAGACACGGCCCAGACUCCUACGGGAGGCAGCAGUGGGGAAUAUUGCACAAUGGGCGAAAGCCUGAUGCAGCGACGCCGCGUGAGGGAUGGAGGCCUUCGGGUUGUGAACCUCUUUCGCCAGUGAAGCAGGCCUGCCUCGUUUGUGGGUGGGUUGACGGUAGCUGGAUAAGAAGCGCCGGCUAACUACGUG
This 494-nucleotide ribosomal RNA is filed under the name uncultured bacterium. Its description in RNAcentral is "partial 16S ribosomal RNA". It matches the Rfam family "Bacterial small subunit ribosomal RNA", at positions 28 to 507 of the family's 1533-position model. The record is from RNAcentral.